CAAAACGACUCUCGGCAACGGAUAUCUCGGCUCUCGCAUCGAUGAAGAACGUAGCGAAAUGCGAUACUUGGUGUGAAUUGCAGAAUCCCGUGAACCAUCGAGUCUUUGAACGCAAGUUGCGCCCGAAGCCGUCAGGCCAAGGGCACGUCUGCCUGGGCGUCACGC
Molecule: ribosomal RNA, 165 nt
Filed under: Ajuga pygmaea
Lineage: Eukaryota; Viridiplantae; Streptophyta; Magnoliopsida; Lamiales; Lamiaceae
Description: 5.8S ribosomal RNA
Rfam family: 5.8S ribosomal RNA
About the family: 5.8S ribosomal RNA (5.8S rRNA) is a component of the large subunit of the eukaryotic ribosome.
Source: RNAcentral